RNAcentral lists this ribosomal RNA (620 nucleotides) under uncultured bacterium. RNAcentral's name for it is "bacterial SSU rRNA". It matches the Rfam family "Bacterial small subunit ribosomal RNA", at positions 338 to 956 of the family's 1533-position model. The record is from RNAcentral.
CCUACGGGAGGCAGCAGUAGGGAAUCUUCCGCAAUGGACGAAAGUCUGACGGAGCAACGCCGCGUGAACGAUGAAGGCCUUCGGGUCGUAAAGUUCUGUUGUUAGGGAAGAACAAGUGCUAGUUGAAUAAGCUGGCACCUUGACGGUACCUAACCAGAAAGCCACGGCUAACUACGUGCCAGCAGCCGCGGUAAUACGUAGGUGGCAAGCGUUGUCCGGAAUUAUUGGGCGUAAAGCGCGCGCAGGCGGUUUCUUAAGUCUGAUGUGAAAGCCCCCGGCUCAACCGGGGAGGGUCAUUGGAAACUGGGAAACUUGAGUGCAGAAGAGGAAAGUGGAAUUCCAAGUGUAGCGGUGAAAUGCGUAGAGAUUUGGAGGAACACCAGUGGCGAAGGCGACUUUCUGGUCUGUAACUGACGCUGAGGCGCGAAAGCGUGGGGAGCAAACAGGAUUAGAUACCCUGGUAGUCCACGCUGUAAACGAUGAGUGCUAAGUGUUAGAGGGUUUCCGCCUUUAGUGCUGAAGUUAACGCAUUAAGCACUCCGCCUGGGGAGUACGGUCGCAAGACUGAAACUCAAAUGAAUUGACCGGNUGAGACGNGCGAGACGACGACGAGGGAGAGG